This 497-nucleotide ribosomal RNA is filed under the name uncultured bacterium. Its description in RNAcentral is "partial 16S ribosomal RNA". It matches the Rfam family "Bacterial small subunit ribosomal RNA", at positions 28 to 507 of the family's 1533-position model. The record is from RNAcentral.
GACGAACGCUGGCGGCGUGCCUAAUACAUGCAAGUAGAACGCUGAAGCGAGGAGCUUGCUCUUCUUGAAUGAGUUGCGAACGGGUGAGUAACGCGUAGGUAACCUGCCUUGUAGCGGGGGAUAACUAUUGGAAACGAUAGCUAAUACCGCAUAACAAUGGGUGCCGCAUGUUGUUUAUUUGAAAGGGGCAAUUGCUCCACUACAAGGUGGACCUGCGUUGUAUUAGCUAGUAGGUGAGGUAACGGCUCACCUAGGCGACGAUACAUAGCCGGCCUGCGAGGGUGGUCGGCCACACGGGGAAUGGGACACGGCCCAGACUCCAACGGGAGGCAGCAGGAGGGAAUCUUCGGCAAUGGGGGCAACCCUGACCGAGCAACGCCGCGUGAGUGAAGAAGGUUGUCGGAUCGUAAAGCUCUGUUGUAAGUCGAGAAUGAGUGUGAGAGUUGAAAGUGCACGCUGUGACGGUAGCUUACCAGAAAGGGACGGCUAACUACGUG